UACGUAGGGUGCGAGCGUUAAUCGGAAUUACUGGGCGUAAAGCGUGCGCAGGCGGUUAUGUAAGACAGGUGUGAAAUCCCCGGGCUUAACCUGGGAACUGCAUUUGUGACUGCAUGGCUAGAGUGCGGCAGAGGGGGAUGGAAUUCCGCGUGUAGCAGUGAAAUGCGUAGAUAUGCGGAGGAACACCGAUGGCGAAGGCAAUCCCCUGGGCCUGCACUGACGCUCAUGCACGAAAGCGUGGGGAGCAAACAGG
This 253-nucleotide ribosomal RNA is filed under the name uncultured bacterium. RNAcentral's name for it is "partial 16S ribosomal RNA". It matches the Rfam family "Bacterial small subunit ribosomal RNA", at positions 524 to 776 of the family's 1533-position model. The record is from RNAcentral.